AAAGAUCUCUUUGUUCCAGCAUAGACUCAGUCAGUGAAGGGCCUCUUCUCAGUGAAGGGAGUCUCUCUGAGGAAGAGGGACGCCGGGAUGCACGGCCCCUUUUGAAGGUAGCAGAAAUCUUAAAGGAAAAAGAAUUUUGUGCCGGAGAGAGAAAUCCUUACGAACCCAUCAAAGAGUUUCAGAAAGAAGCUGAGAAAUUCUUACCACUUUUUGGGCACAUAGGUGGCACACAAAGCAAAGGACCAUGGGAAGAACUGGCAAAGGGAAGCCCACACAGCGUCAUUAAUAUU
Molecule: long non-coding RNA, 290 nt
Filed under: Rattus norvegicus (Norway rat)
Lineage: Eukaryota; Metazoa; Chordata; Mammalia; Rodentia; Muridae
Description: long non-coding RNA NONRATT008845
Source: RNAcentral